This is a long non-coding RNA of Drosophila santomea, 414 nucleotides long. RefSeq lists it as uncharacterized. The record is from RefSeq and is a predicted model, not a curated record. The transcript is spliced from 2 exons. NCBI's taxonomy places the organism in Eukaryota, Metazoa, Arthropoda, Insecta, Diptera, Drosophilidae.
UUAUAAAUUGAUGUUAAGAACAAUGGAUGUUUUCCAGCUCUGUUUAAACUUUUCGUUAUGCCAAUAGAUUUAGCCAUAAAGCAAUUGCAGAUACUGAGAAUAGCGGACAGGACCGAAGAUGUUUUAUUCGACUAAAUAUUUUAAAAAACAUAAUGUAUAUAUGUAUAUACGUUUCCUACAGCCAACAAAAGUUAUGAAAAACAGAAAAAAUCCAAAUUGCUUUUGACAUUUUUUUUAAGUAACGAGGUAUAAUUCCGCAGUGUCAAAACAAAAAAUUUAAACAAAGGGUUCCCUAAAAAUUACUGAGCAUGCGCGAAUCAAAGAGAGGAUAACACAACAAGGGAACCCUUUCCCGCGGUGAAAUAUGUUGUACCAGAUCAUAUUAUUGUAUUAUAAAAUAAAUAUUUAAAAAUA